Molecule: ribosomal RNA, 248 nt
Filed under: uncultured prokaryote
Description: partial 16S ribosomal RNA
Rfam family: Bacterial small subunit ribosomal RNA
Source: RNAcentral
UACGUAGGGGACGAGCGUUGUCCGGAAUUACUGGGCGUAAAGGGCGCGCAGGCUGUGCUGCAAGUCAGCUGUGAAAUGUCUGGGCUUAACCCGGGCAUGCGGUUGAGACUGCAGUGCUGGAGUGCUGUAGAGGCAAGUGGAAUUCCCAGUGUAGCGGUGAAAUGCGUAGAUAUUGGGAAGAACACCGGUGGCGAAGGCGACUUGCUGGGCAGCAACUGACGCUGAGGCACGAAAGCGUGGGGAGCAAA